AAGGAUAAGGAAACCUGCCAUUUGCGUCUUGUUUAGUUUUGAGAGGUCUUGUGGGGCCUUAGCUCAGCUGGGAGAGCGCCUGCUUUGCACGCAGGAGGUCAGCGGUUCGAUCCCGCUAGGCUCCAUUGAAUCGAAAGGUUCAAAUUGUUCAUUGAAAAUUGAAUAUCUAUAUCAAAUUCCACGAUCUAGAAAUAGAUUGUAGAACAGUAACAAGAAAAUAAACCGAAAACGCUGUGAAUAUUUAAUGAGUUUUCUAGUUUUAAAGAAACUAGGUUAAUAA
This 280-nucleotide transfer RNA is filed under the name Streptococcus agalactiae. The stretch from base 53 to 125 matches the Rfam family "tRNA". The record is from RNAcentral. Lineage: Bacteria; Bacillati; Bacillota; Bacilli; Lactobacillales; Streptococcaceae.